AUGACUCAAUAUUCUGGACAAAAACGGACGAAUGUAACUAAGGCUGGGAAUGUCAAUACAUUCAAACUAGCAAGGGCAAUGAUCACAAGUCAGUCAUAACUUGGCUGAUAGAUACACUAGCCUAUUUAUGCAGCAAGCUAAAAACACAGAGCCUAACGUACGCUAGAUGGCUGGCUAGCUAGCUAGCUGCUAGGAGGAUGUCAUGCCAUUGGAGGAGUGGAGCACUCUCGUCUGAAUGUGCCAGAGCGCAGAAUAACUGAGGAAUUUACAAACGAGCAACACCUGGCAGUCCUAUGGAGCUCCUGGAGCUGAAGAUUAUGUAGACCUAUGACAAUUGUGCCUUUCUUGUGACACUGAAAAUUAAAAUAAAUUGUUGCAUCGUGA
Molecule: long non-coding RNA, 384 nt
Organism: Oncorhynchus kisutch (coho salmon)
Lineage: Eukaryota; Metazoa; Chordata; Actinopteri; Salmoniformes; Salmonidae
Exons: 3
Source: RefSeq, a predicted model, not a curated record